Molecule: ribosomal RNA, 433 nt
Filed under: uncultured bacterium
Lineage: Bacteria
Description: partial 16S ribosomal RNA
Rfam family: Bacterial small subunit ribosomal RNA
Source: RNAcentral
AACGAACGCUGGCGGCAUGCCUAACACAUGCAAGUCGAACGAGACCUUCGGGUCUAGUGGCGCACGGGUGCGUAACGCGUAGGAACCUGCCCUUAGGUUCGGAAUAACUCCCCGAAAGGGGUGCUAAUACCGGAUAAUGUCUUCGGACCAAAGAUUUAUCGCCUUUGGAUGGGCCCGCGUUGGAUUAGCUAGUUGGUAGGGUAAAAGCCUACCAAGGCGACGAUCCAUAGCUGGUCUGAGAGGAUGAUCAGCCACACUGGGACUGAGACACGGCCCAGACUCCUACGGGAGGCAGCAGUGGGGAAUAUUAGACAAUGGGCGAAAGCCUGAUCCAGCAAUGCCGCGUGAGUGAUGAAGGCCUUAGGGUUGUAAAGCUCUUUUACCCGGGAUGAUAAUGACAGUACCGGGAGAAUAAGCUCCGGCUAACUCCGUG